UGCCAGCAGCCGCGGUAAUACGAAGGGUGCUAGCGUUGUUCGGAAUUACUGGGCGUAAAGGGCGUGUAGGCGGUAUGAUAAGUUAGACGUGAAAGCCCCGGGCUUAACCUGGGAACUGCGUUUAAAACUAUUGUACUUGAAUCCCGGAGGGGAGUGCGGAAUUUCUAGUGUAGAGGUGGAAUUCGUAGAUAUUUGGAAGAACACCAGUGGCGAAGGCGGCUCUCUGGUCCACAUCUGACGCUGAGGCGCGAAAGCGUGGGGAGCAAACAGGAUUAGAUA
Molecule: ribosomal RNA, 279 nt
Filed under: uncultured bacterium
Lineage: Bacteria
Description: partial 16S ribosomal RNA
Rfam family: Bacterial small subunit ribosomal RNA
Source: RNAcentral